UCCCAGACUCCUACGGGAGGCAGCAGUGGGGAAUAUUGGGCAAUGGGCGCAAGCCUGACCCAGCAACGCCGCGUGAAGGAAGAAGGCUUUCGGGUUGUAAACUUCUUUUCUCAGGGACGAAGAAAGUGACGGUACCUGAGGAAUAAGCCACGGCUAACUACGUGCCAGCAGCCGCGGUAAUACGUAGGUGGCAAGCGUUAUCCGGAUUUACUGGGUGUAAAGGGCGUGUAGGCGGGAGUGCAAGUCAGAUGUGAAAACCACGGGCUCAACCUGUGGCCUGCAUUUGAAACUGUACUUCUUGAGUACUGGAGAGGCAGACGGAAUUCCUAGUGUAGCGGUGAAAUGCGUAGAUAUUAGGAGGAACACCGGCGGCGAAGGCGGCCUGCUGGACCGAAACUGACGUUGAGGAUCGAAAGCGUGGGGAGCAAACAGGAUUAGAUACCCGGGUAC
RNAcentral lists this ribosomal RNA (450 nucleotides) under uncultured bacterium. Its description in RNAcentral is "bacterial SSU rRNA". It matches the Rfam family "Bacterial small subunit ribosomal RNA", at positions 329 to 793 of the family's 1533-position model. The record is from RNAcentral.